UACGUAGGGGGCAAGCGUUGUCCGGAUUUAUUGGGCGUAAAGAGCGUGUAGGCGGCCAGGUAGGUCGGUUGUGAAAACUCGAGGCUUAACCUCGAGCUGUCGGCGGAAACCAUCUGGCUAGAGUCCGGAAGAGGAGAAUGGAAUUCCCGGUGUAGCGGUGAAAUGCGCAGAUAUCGGGAAGAACACCCGUGGCGAAGGCGGGUUC
Molecule: ribosomal RNA, 205 nt
Filed under: uncultured bacterium
Lineage: Bacteria
Description: partial 16S ribosomal RNA
Rfam family: Bacterial small subunit ribosomal RNA
Source: RNAcentral